GCCUACUUUCCAAGUACCCUCCCAGGGAUAGCCGGAGAUCGAAGAAGCUGCUUUAUCUUACAGUCACCCAAGGGGGAGCGCCUUCUUCCUUCCCAGAGUGGAGUGGCAGUGGGUCCGGGAUUCUGGGAUAUGCACAGGGUCUGCGCCCUGCGCCCUGUCCGCGCUGAAGCUGAACUUGUCAUUGGUUUGCAACAGCAUGGUGAAGAAGUGUGGUGUGGAUGGACGGACGGGCCUCUCAGGCACAUGAAAUACUCAAAGCCCAGUAUUAACCAAACAUGUUUCUCUGUUUUGUCUUUGAUCUUUGUGCAGUGUGUUGGCUUUUUUCCUUUAAUGAUGUCACUUGUAUUUUAUUUUUGGUUUAUUUGUAGACUGUCUCCCUCCUUGGCCAUGGCUUUACUUUUAUGUCCACCCAAGGAGAGUUUCACCAGUUUAGGUUUAAGAAAUUACUGACAAGUUAACAAUAAUAAUUUCAAAAUUGAACAGUAAUAACUUAAACCGUGCCUUGGACAUAGUAGAUCUCCAACAGUUUUUCUUGAAUGUGGCUACCUAAUGUGGAACAAGAUUUUUCAUAAUUACAUGUUGCUAUUUUUAAUACCUUUUGGGAGGUUCUUUAGUCCCCCCCGCCCUUUCUCCCUACGUUGCACAAAGAGACUGGUCUACAAGGGGUCCUGUUAGUUUUCUGGUUUUGUGGGGUCCUGGAAUAUUGUUUGGGCUUAUUGAGAGUUAACAAGGAUGUAUUUUGUGAGUUUCUCCAAAGUCUUAUUUAGAGUAAUAGUAUUUCAAAGCAAGAAGUGUUUUAGAGAGAACAUCAUUCUGCCUCUUGUUUAACAGGUGAGGAAACUGAGGAAAAACCAGCUUACCUGGCUAAUCAACCACAAGUACAGAUAGUUCCACAAUGACUCAAUGGAUAUUACUUCAACUUUGUUCCCUCAAGAAACUUUUGUGAUUAAGCUUGUUGAUUUGUGGCUUGAUGGUUUACAGGAAUGGUCAUUUUUAAUAUCUAGGACCCUGCUUGCUUGCUUGCUUGCUUGCUUACUAGACUGGCUGCAUAGUCAGUCUUCCACGUGUAAACAACAGUGUGUGCUUUAGUGGAUAAGAGAUGUUGAGUGCUGAGAUUUCAAGGCUCAGCACUGAGUAGACCUAGAGCAUUUUUAUUUAUACUAAAUUAAUGCCAUGGUAACAUAAGUUAGACAGCAAGUGAAUAUGGCAUCAAAUGUACAAAGUUGAGUAUCUCUUUACUAGUCAAUGUAUAAGGAAUUUAUUUACCCAAGCAAUUAUCUUAAAAACAGCAUUACAAGUGGUAUGCGAAACAUUUCCAGAAUUUAUUUCCACAUCUGCUCUUUCAGUGGCAUCAUCCAUUCCUGAGCUCAAGAAAAGGCCUCUGCCAACCGCCAGUAAUCCUGCUUUUUUAGUAAUCCUACUAUUUUUUUUUUAACUUUAAGUUCUGGGAUACAUGUGCAGAACAUGCAGGUUUGUUACAUAGGUAUACAUGUGCCUAUGUAUACCUAUGUAACAUGGUGGUUACAGUAAACAUGGUGGUUUACUGCAUCUAUCAACCCGUCAUCUAGGUUUUAAGCCCUGCAUUCAUUAGAUAUUUGUCCUAAUGCUCUCCCUCCCCUUUCCCCCACGCCCCGACAGGCCCCAGUAUGUGAUAUUACCCUCCCUGUGUCCAUGUGUUCUCAUCGUUCAACUCCCACUUAUAAGUGAGAAUAUGCAGAGUUUGGUUUUCUGUUGUGUUACUUUGCUUAGAAUGAUGGCUCCCAGCUUCAUCCAUGUCCCUGCAAAUGACAUGAACUCAUUCUUUUUUAUGGCUGCAUAGUAUUCCAUGGUGUAUAUGUGCCACAUUGUCUUUAUCCAGUCUAUCAUCGAUGGCAUUUGGGUUGGUUCCAAGUCUUUGCUAUUGUAAAUAGCACUGCAAUAAACAUACAUGUGCAUGUGUCUUUAUAGUAGAAUGAUUUAUAAUCCUUUGGGUAUAUACCCAGUAAUGGGAUUGCUGGGUCAAAUGGUAUUUUGGUUCUAGAUCCUUGAGGAAUCGCCACAGUGUCUUCCACAAUGGUUGAACUAAUUUACACUCCCACCAACAGUGUAAAAGCAUUCCUAUUUCUCCAUAGCCUUGGCAGAAUCUGUUGUUUCCUGACUUUUUAAUAAUCACCAUUCUCACUGGCGUGAGGUGGUAUCUCACUGUGGUUUUGAUUUGCAUUUCUCUAAUGACCAAUGAUGAUGAACUUUUUUUCAUAUGUUUAUUGGCUGCAUAAAUGUCUUCUUUUGAGAAGUGUCUGUUCAUAUCCUUUGCCCACUUUUUGAUGGGGUUGUUUGUUUUUUUCUUGUAAAUUUGUCUAAGUUCCUUGUAGAUUCUGGACAUUAGACCUUUGUCGGAUGGGUAGAUUGCAAAACUUUCUCCCAUUCUGUAGGUUGCCUGUUCACUCUGAUGAUAGUUUCUUUUGCUGUGCAGAAGCUCUUUAGUUGGAUUAGAUCCCAUUUGUCAAUUUUGGCUUUUGUUGCAAUUGCUUUUGGUGUUUUAGUCAUGAAGUCUUUGCCCAUGCCUAUGUCCUGAAUGGUAUUGCCUAGAUUUUCUUCUAGGGUUUUUAUGGUUUGGGGUUUUACAUUUAAGUCUUUAAUCCAUUUUCAAUAAUCCUACUUUUUAAAUCCAAACGUUCCAGAUACUGGUCCCUGCUUCACCUCCCUAUCCUGACCCCAGACUAGCAGCAGGUCAUUAUCUAAUUGCCUAAGUAAUAGUAUGUCUGAAAUUUAUCUAGUGUUCAUAACUUAAAAAUAAAAUACUUUCACAGGCCAGGCAUGGUGGCUUACACCUAUAAUCAUAGUGCUUUUAGAGGCUGAGGCAGGAGGACCACUUGAGCCCCAGGAGUUUGUGACCAGCCUGGACAACAUAGUGAGACCCUCAUCUCUACAAAAAAAUAGAAAAAAAUUAACUGGGCCUGGUUGCAAACACCUGUAGUCCCAGCUACUCAGGAGGCUGAGGCAGGAGAAUCACUUGAGUCCAGGAGUUUGAGACUGCAGUGAACCAUAAUUGCACCACUACAUUCCAGCCUGGGCAACAGCAUGAGACCCUGUCUCAAAAAAAAGAAAAGAAAGAAAGAAAAUACUUUCACAACCUGAACAAUAAUUCUGUGAGAUAAGUAGAACCAGUAUUUUAAAAUCAUCAUUUAGAGAAUUUAAAAAAAAAAUUAAGCAUAGAAUUGUAUUAAGCAACCUACCUAAACAUGGCUACUUAGGAGAUUGAGAUUAAAACUCAAGUCCCCUAAUUUUUAAUUUCAUUAAUAGAUCUGGAUUCCUGAAGAGUGUUUUUCUUUGGUGUUCUGACAUUUGUAGAACCAAAAAUAAUAUUUCAUGGUUUUUGCAAAUUAUUAUCAUUUAAGAAAAAUAUCCCAAAAAAUAUUGAAGAAAAAACAAAACAAAAAAGUUGGAAACCAAUUUGCAUUGCUGGGAGGCAGUUAAUCCUACUUGAACUUACACCAGUGGUAUCUCCCCAGAGCCAACCCAGAUUUUAAUGUGAAGAUAAAUCCUUGGCUGAUGAAGUCUUAGUUAACACUGUAGUUUGCAAACAGUCCUUUAUGUGUGAACUACAAGAAAGCUCUCACACCCCUGCCUGCCUUCUCCCCUCCUCUUUCCUCCAGGUUUCAAGCUCCCAAAGGUGAUCUACAUAUUUACUAUCAUUGGAAUUCAUAACAUCAAGAAUCAGACCCAAGUCCCCGGAGAAGUGGGAACUAAAAAUUGGGUAACUAUCGAGGAGAAGAAAUAAUAGUUUUCCUAUGUCUAAAAACAAAUGCUGGCACAAAUCUGAGGUUUCUAAAAGACAGAAAGAGGCCUUUGGUUCUGAAUACACAUUGCCAGUAAUAAAGAGAAGUAUACAUUACCAAUAGUCAAUAAUAAGGGGAGAUGAGGGUUUGGAAUCUUGGCUGUCACAAAACUGAGGUCCGGGUAUGGGUCCAGUUUUCUUCUUCAUUCACACACACACACACACACACACACACACACACACACACACACGAGGUUCCCUCUUCACAAAUGCUGUUAACUAUUUUCUUUCCUUUUAAGGCAGGGCCUUGCUCUGUCGCCCAGGCUGGAGUGCAGUGGCAUGAUCUUGGCUCACUGCAACCUCCACCUCCCAGGCUCAAGCAAUUCUCCCACCUCAACCUCCCAAGUAGCUGGGACUACAGGUGUGCGCCACCAUGCCUGGCUAAUUUUGCAUUUUUUGUAGAGACAGGGUUGCCCCAUGUUGCCCAGGCUGGCCUCAAGCUCCUGGGCUCAAGUGAUCCACCUGCAUCGACUUCCCAAAAUGCUGGGAUUACAGGAGUGAGCCACCGAGCCUGGCCAGCUAUUUUCUUAUAGCCAGUCCCUUCUAGACUAUGUAUGCCCCACCUCUAAGCAGCUAAUCCCCAAAACAGUAAUGCAAUUUUUAAACUGGUUCGCCAGCUCCUCCCUUUCAAUAUCCUCUCUCCCUUUAGACACGUUUAUGCAGCACUCUCCUGAUUAUAACACUGACUAUGCCCAGUCUAUCAUAAGGAAGAAUUCAGACAUUUCCCAAGAUUCUGCCAUCUGUCUUCCUCUCACCUCACUCCCUAAAUCCCUGGUGAUCUACCCACUUCUGUGAUUUCAGCUGUCACUUGGAUAAUGUUGACUUUGAGAAACUCAUCUCCAGCCUUAUCCACAGUACUAGGGUCCUAUCAGGAGUUUUUAAAUGUUGAACACCUCCAACAAAAUAUGCUUCCUGGACUUCCAACUCAAUGCAUGGAAAGUGACAUCUUCAUGAUCUCCUUACCCCUUGCCCAACCACCCUUGCCUUCUUGAAUUGCCUUUUUAUGUUAGUAAAACUAGUGGGUUCUGUCUCAAACUUGCUUAUACAUGGAGUUACUUUUGAGUCCUCUCCUCCAUCCUAGCUUGCAUAAAUCCAACUCAUGCUUUGAAUUCGUAUUGACACUGUCCUAGCUCAGACCUAGUUAGCUUUCACGAGGAUUAUUGCAUUAGCUUGUUAGCCGUCCUCCUUCCCCUGCCACCUUUCCACCUCCAAUACUUUCUACUUUCUGUUGUAGGUGAAUUAUUCUACAGCACAGUUCAGACCAAAUCACAUCCAAGCUCAAAAAAACAGCUCCUUGUUGCCUACUAAGUAAAAUAUAUGCUUUACAGAGCUUAAAAGGGCCUUCCAAAUGUAAUCCCAAACCACUGUUGCUGCCUCGCUCAUUGCAUGUGCUCUGCCAACCCAAUAGACUCUCUGUUCUACAAAUACAUCCAGCACUUUCCUUGCCCCUUGCCUCGGCUUAAUUGUUUCUUCCACCUGGAAUGGGACUUUUCAAGGGUCCCCAUCAAAUACCACUGUCCUCCUCCAUCAAGUCAUUCCCUAUUCUCCAAGCUGGCAAUUAGCCUCCUCUGAGUUCCUAUAGCAUUUGUUUCUGUCUGUCUUCUGGAACCAAUCAUAGUACAUAUUAUGGAAUUAUCCUUUGUAUAACUCUUUUUUUUUUGAGACGGAGUCUGGCUCUGUCUCCCAGGCUGGAGUGCAGUGGCACGAUCUUGGCUCACUGGAAGCUCCGCCUCCCGGGUCCACGCCAUUCUCCUGCCUUAGCCUCCUGAGUAGCUGGGACUACAGGCGCCCGCCGCCACACCCGGCUAAUUUUUUUUUUUUUUUUUUUGUAUUUUUAGUAGAGACAGGGUUUCAUUGUGUUAGCCAGGAUGGUCUCGAUCUCCUGACCUCGUGAUCCACCCUCCUCGGCCUCCCAAAGUGCUGGGAUUACGGGCGUGAGCCACUGCGCCUAGCCUGUAUAACUCUUAAUAUCUGCUAUCAGGUUAUAAGCACCUUGAGACAGAAAACUUGUUUCUCCCCGGCAAUGUCUUUCAUAAAUUAACCCCUCAAUGAAACCAGAAGCCAAGAAACAAGAAAUUAUACUAAGGGUUUCUUCAUAGAUGUUUGGGGCUGCAAAAGAUACUAAAAUAUCCGUUUAAUAAGUCCAAUCAUGCAACUCUCAUUUUCUCUCCUGCCCCUGCCCAUUUUAAAAAUAAACAUUCCUAGGCCCAGGAAAAUGACAUGACUGUGCUCACAAAACUAAUGACAGAGGAAAGAUUAGAAUUCAGAUCUCCUGAAUCUCAAUUCAUUAGCCCUAUCAAAAGAUUCAUUCCUUUCCAUCCUUUUCUGUCCUUUAAAUGGAUAUUUUUCUUGUUAAUAAAGGUUUUCUCAGCAAAGUAAUUUUAUUCUUUUACAUAUUAUUUAAGCUUAAAGCAUUCGUGCCAUAUUCCUGGCCCCACAUAUAAUUUUAGCAAAAUUAUACUUAUUUUUUUUUAACCAAAGGACCAAACAGAGACAUCAGAGAAACAUCUGGUCUGAUUCAUCAGGGUAGCAGCAACAUUGCUAUUUAUACACGAGCACAGCCCUAUCUUUGUAGCUCUCAGCUGUUCCUCAUUGCUCAGUAUGUUCCCCUUUUCAACCUUGUCUGUCCCUCGUCACGAUAGCAUCCUGCAUCCUGAGUCUUAAGCAGAAUCUAAUGCAAUCAUAGAAAAUAUAUUUCCUACUCCCUAGAAGGGGUCUGUCUUUAAAAGGAAAUAUUUCUCUACUCUCUCAAUCUCUUCAUUGAGGAGUAUAGGACAGCAAGCCUCAAGUGGUUGGGUGGCUGCCAUUCAUUCCACAGCAUUCUCGGUAGAAAGAAGUUGGAUAGAAACCAAAGCUGUGGCAUAAGUCAAGUUUGGAAGCAGGUCAGGUAGAAAGGAAGUGAGCAUUCUAAAUGGGGAAACUGAGGUUAAUGAGGAGAAUUUAAGGAGCACUGAUUCUCCUCAUAGCAGUUAGAAACUUCAUGAUCUUAGGGAGUCAUCAGGACCAAAGAAAGGCUUAGCAAUCUUCUUGGGUUUUGUGAGUACCCUUUUAUAUCUGGCCCGUGUCCUCUAAGA
Molecule: long non-coding RNA, 6891 nt
Filed under: Homo sapiens (human)
Lineage: Eukaryota; Metazoa; Chordata; Mammalia; Primates; Hominidae
Description: non-protein coding RASAL2-AS1:6
Source: RNAcentral